GUUCCACUAAUGGCAGGCUCUGGUGUAGAGGGAGUGGAAGCGGUUCUUGGUCCGGUGCUACAGCUGCAGAGCUCUUCACUUACCGGGAGAAGAUGUGUAGGCUCUGAAGUGCAGCAUUUGAUGGCCUCAAGUUGGGUGCAGACUGUACUCCUACCCCAUUCACAGUCCCAGAGGGUCUCACAUCUCUGGGCUCCCAGAUUGUGCUGUAAAAACUCAGCUCUGUAGCACAAUUUGGGGUGAUGGCUACUGCAAUUUGAGCCCUGUGCAGCUGUUCAAGGAAGCAGAACAUCUGGCUCAAGAAGAAGAUUUCUGUGGAAUCCCUUGGGAGGAAACAGUCUUUCAUUAUAAUCCAGAAAGGUCUGGAGAGCUGGAUUUAAUUUUUUUUUUCCAGUUUAAAUAAAUGUGACUUAAAUGUAAAGUGUUGUGAUCUAUGAAAUAAAUACAGAAAAGAUU
This is a non-coding RNA of Lonchura striata (white-rumped munia), 453 nucleotides long. Lineage: Eukaryota; Metazoa; Chordata; Aves; Passeriformes; Estrildidae. The record is from RefSeq and is a predicted model, not a curated record.